Molecule: ribosomal RNA, 497 nt
Filed under: uncultured bacterium
Lineage: Bacteria
Description: partial 16S ribosomal RNA
Rfam family: Bacterial small subunit ribosomal RNA
Source: RNAcentral
GAUGAACGCUGGCGGCGUGCCUAAUACAUGCAAGUCGAGCGAACGGACAAGAAGCUUGCUUCUCUGAUGUUAGCGGCGGACGGGUGAGUAACACGUGGAUAACCUACCUAUAAGACUGGGAUAACUUCGGGAAACCGGAACUAAUACCGGAUGAUAUUUUGAACCGCAUGGUUCAAAAGUGAAAGACGGUCUUGCUGUCACUUAUAGAUGGAUCCGCGCUGCAUUAGCUAGUUGGUAAGGUAACGGCUUACCAAGGCAACGAUGCAUAGCCGACCUGAGAGGGUGAUCGGCCACACUGGAACUGAGACACGGUCCAGACUCCUACGGGAGGCAGCAGUAGGGAAUCUUCCGCAAUGGGCGAAAGCCUGACGGAGCAACGCCGCGUGAGUGAUGAAGGUCUUCGGAUCGUAAAACUCUGUUAUUAGGGAAGAACAUAUGUGUAAGUAACUGUGCACAUCUUGACGGUACCUAAUCAGAAAGCCACGGCUAACUACGUG